UACGUAGGGUGCUAACGUUGUUCGGAAUCACUGGGCAUAAAGAGCGCGUAGGCGGUCUAAUAAGUCCAGCGUGAAAGCCCCCGGCUUAACCGGGGAAUUGCACUGGAUACUGUUGGACUAGAGUACAGGAGGGGAGAGCGGAAUUCCUGGUGGAGCGGUGAAAUGCGUAGAUAUCAGGAGGAACGCCGGCGGCGAAAGCGGCUCUCUGGUCUGUCACUGACGCUGAGGCGCGAAAGCUAGGGGAGCAAACGGG
RNAcentral lists this ribosomal RNA (253 nucleotides) under uncultured bacterium. RNAcentral describes it as "partial 16S ribosomal RNA". It matches the Rfam family "Bacterial small subunit ribosomal RNA", at positions 524 to 776 of the family's 1533-position model. The record is from RNAcentral.